Molecule: ribosomal RNA, 406 nt
Filed under: uncultured bacterium
Lineage: Bacteria
Description: partial 16S ribosomal RNA
Rfam family: Bacterial small subunit ribosomal RNA
Source: RNAcentral
AUUGAACGCUGGCGGCAGGCCUAACACAUGCAAGUCGAACGAGUGGCGGACGGGUGAGUAAUGUCUGGGAAACUGCCUGAUGGAGGGGGAUAACUACUGGAAACGGUAGCUAAUACCGCAUACCAUCAGAUGUGCCCAGAUGGGAUUAGCUAGUUGGUGGGGUAACGGCUCACCAAGGCGACGAUCCCUAGCUGGUCUGAGAGGAUUACCAGCCACACUUGUACUGAUCCACGGUCCAGACGUCUCCGGUAGGCAGCUGUGUGGAAUAUUGCUCAAUUGGCUCAAGCUUGAGGCUGCCGUGCCGUGUGUAUGAAGUCGGCCUUCGUGUUGUAAAGUACUUUCAGCGGGGAGGCGUUACCCGCAGAAGAAGCACCGGCUAACUCCGUGCCAGCAGCCGCGGUAAUUC